AUACUCUAGUUUCUUUGGAGAUUGUAUAAAUCUUUCACCUUUUACUGAAGAUUUCCAUGAAGGG
This 64-nucleotide small nuclear RNA is filed under the name Cervus elaphus hippelaphus. The record is from RNAcentral. Lineage: Eukaryota; Metazoa; Chordata; Mammalia; Artiodactyla; Cervidae.